This is a long non-coding RNA of Physeter macrocephalus (sperm whale), 1290 nucleotides long. RefSeq lists it as uncharacterized. The transcript has 3 exons. NCBI's taxonomy places the organism in Eukaryota, Metazoa, Chordata, Mammalia, Artiodactyla, Physeteridae. The record is from RefSeq and is a predicted model, not a curated record.
UUUUCCUCUAAGAGUUUGAUAGUGUCUGGCCUUACAUUUAGGUCUUUAAUCCAUUUUGAGUUUAUUUUUGUGUAUGGUAUUGGGAGUGUUCUAAUUUCAUUCUUUUACAUGUAGCUGUCCAGUUUUCCCAGCACCACUUAUUGAAGAGGCUAGAGAUAUUCCCCUAAAGCCUCUGGAAGGAAACUAUCCUGGCCCUGACACCUUGAUUUUAGCCUGCCCCAGCCUCUUUCCAGAGGGCCAGACUUCAAAGUUGAUCUGCCUACUGGACACCUCCCCUUGAAUCUGCUACAGGUUUUUCAAUAUAGUUCCAGGGAUAUAUGAGAAUGCCCCCAUAGCAAGUGUGGAUGAAAAAUGCCGCAUGCCAUAUCAGUAAACAAAGGAUGCUGCGACCAUCAAGCCCUCAGCCAUUGCAGCUGCCCCCCAAAACUGCACCCAGAGGGGACUCAGGAUGAAGAAAAGCAGGAUACUGACCCUAGAUAGCUAAGGUGCAUAUCAAAGGAAUGUUUUCAAUGAGCCAAGACUCUUACAUCUUCCCACACGUAGAAAAGUGCUAAAUUCAUUAACUUGAGAUGUCUGGUUUUUCUUUAAUUAACAGAAAUCAGCUGUUCUAACCGCGGGUUUUGUUUUUGUUUUCAAAACUCAUAUAUUUGGCUCCUCCCUUUGGCUCUUUACAGCAGUCCCGAGCCCUCAGCAAGUCUGCCGAAUAAAACAUAAUUCUCAACUUUUAGGUUGUGCAUUAUUUUUUCAGUCAGUACAAGUAAAAUUAAUUAAUAUUAAUAAUUUUAAAAUAUAUAUACCUUUCCAGAAGCCAUCACCCUUGAUUUUUUCCCUCCCUCACUCCGUGUAGCUCAUCAGGUCAUUAAAUUUUGUUUGCACAUUUCCUAAAUCUCUUCAGUCUCUGCUUCUCUCCAGACUCCUGCUGUUUCCCUGAUUCAUCUGCAGAUGCCAAAGUCCUCUUAUCUGUAAUCCCAUUUUCCAUUAUCUUUACAAAGGAGAUCUGAGCCUGUCACUCCCUUGGAUAAACUCGGGACUUCAGGUAAACUCUAACCUGCUGGCCUUUUCUGUCUUAUCUCUCCUCACACUGAGAGGACAUCCUGAACUACUUUCUGUCCCUCAGAAAUGCCCUGCUUUCUUUCACUUUGAGGCCUUUCCACUUGUCCUUCCAUUUCUCCCCUACUUCCUAGCUUUGCUAACUCCAAAGCUGAGACCUGAGUGAGUGGGUGUCAUCUUCUUUAGCAACAGCUUGCAAGUUUGGAUUGGCUGUCCUUCCCCCUUCCUGUAUAUCCUCAU